GUGUAGGAUAGGUGGGAGGCUUUGAAGUGUGGACGCCAGUCUGCAUGGAGCCGACCUUGAAAUACCACCCUUUAAUGUUUGAUGUUCUAACGUUGACCCGUAAUCCGGGUUGCGGACAGUGUCUGGUGGGUAGUUUGACUGGGGCGGUCUCCUCCUAAAGAGUAACGGAGGAGCACGAAGGUUGGCUAAUCCUGGUCGGACAUCAGGAGGUUAGUGCAAUGGCAUAAGCCAGCUUGACUGCGAGCGUGACGGCGCGAGCAGGUGCGAAAGCAGGUCAUAGUGAUCCGGUGGUUCUGAAUGGAAGGGCCAUCGCUCAACGGAUAAAAGGUACUCCGGGGAUAACAGGCUGAUACCGCCCAAGAGUUCAUAUCGACGGCGGUGUUUGGCACCUCGAUGUCGGCUCAUCACAUCCUGGGGCUGAAGUAGGUCCCAAGGGUAUGGCUGUUCGCCAUUUAAAGUGGUACGCGAGCUGGGUUUAGAACGUCGUGAGACAGUUCGGUCCCUAUCUGCCGUGGGCGCUGGAGAACUGAGGGGGGCUGCUCCUAGUACGAGAGGACCGGAGUGGACGCAUCACUGGUGUUCGGGUUGUCAUGCCAAUGGCACUGCCCGGUAGCUAAAUGCGGAAGAGAUAAGUGCUGAAAGCAUCUAAGCACGAAACUUGC
Molecule: ribosomal RNA, 662 nt
Filed under: Escherichia coli
Lineage: Bacteria; Pseudomonadati; Pseudomonadota; Gammaproteobacteria; Enterobacterales; Enterobacteriaceae
Description: partial 23S ribosomal RNA
Rfam family: Bacterial large subunit ribosomal RNA
Source: RNAcentral